Molecule: ribosomal RNA, 657 nt
Filed under: Triticum aestivum (bread wheat)
Lineage: Eukaryota; Viridiplantae; Streptophyta; Magnoliopsida; Poales; Poaceae
Description: partial small subunit ribosomal RNA
Source: RNAcentral
AUGGCGGCGUAUGAGGAGUCGGCGGGCAAGGAGAUGGCCGGCCAUGAAGGGUGCCAAAAUUGUAGUGUUGAGAAGUGCUCGUCGACCGGCGGCCGGUGCGCCACCAAAAGGAAGGCCGAGGAGGCGGCGGCGGCCGGCGAGGAGUGUCCGAUGAAGGUGUGCAAAGUGGAGGCGGCGGCCGGCCGUUCUGAUGCCUUUUCUGCGGCUGCGCCGGACGAUGUCGCAGAUUCAUUGAAGCCGGCGGUGGAGGCCGCCGUACGCGAGAAAAGGUUGACGCGGCUGCCGCAGGAAGAGAUCAAUUGGACCCUUGCCCAUGUGGUGGAUGGUCCUGUCCCUCAUCACUACGAGUCCUUGAAGCGCGAAAACCCCAGCUUGCUGCCCUCGCCGGCGGAGCAGAUGGACAGCUGGAAGGUUGCUCUCUAUAAUGGUUGCCGCGCUUUCUUUGCCGUUCGAGAGAGAUUCGCCAAGUAUCAGGCACUUGUCCGGGCUGAGUAUGAGAAGCGCGGCUACGUUGAGGUUGACGACGACUUCCUGACCCGCAGGGCGCACCUCCGUGCGUAUAACGAUGUCCUACGCGCCAAGGCAAUGAAAUAUGUCGCCCAUUUGGUUGACACUGGCGAACUUUUGGUCGCUGGCCGCAGCCCACGAAUAGAUUGA